Molecule: ribosomal RNA, 1441 nt
Filed under: uncultured organism
Description: partial small subunit ribosomal RNA
Rfam family: Bacterial small subunit ribosomal RNA
Source: RNAcentral
GCGUGCUUAACACAUGCAAGUCGAACGGAAAGGCCCUGCUUUUGUGGGGUGCUCGAGUGGCGAACGGGUGAGUAACACGUGAGUAACCUGCCCUUGACUUUGGGAUAACUUCAGGAAACUGGGGCUAAUACCGGAUAGGAGCUCCUGCUGCAUGGUGGGGGUUGGAAAGUUUCGGCGGUUGGGGAUGGACUCGCGGCUUAUCAGCUUGUUGGUGGGGUAGUGGCUUACCAAGGCUUUGACGGGUAGCCGGCCUGAGAGGGUGACCGGCCACAUUGGGACUGAGAUACGGCCCAGACUCCUACGGGAGGCAGCAGUGGGGAAUAUUGCACAAUGGGCGGAAGCCUGAUGCAGCAACGCCGCGUGCGGGAUGACGGCCUUCGGGUUGUAAACCGCUUUCGCCUGUGACGAAGCGUGAGUGACGGUAAUGGGUAAAGAAGCACCGGCUAACUACGUGCCAGCAGCCGCGGUGAUACGUAGGGUGCGAGCGUUGUCCGGAUUUAUUGGGCGUAAAGGGCUCGUAGGUGGUUGAUCGCGUCGGAAGUGUAAUCUUGGGGCUUAACCCUGAGCGUGCUUUCGAUACGGGUUGACUUGAGGAAGGUAGGGGAGAAUGGAAUUCCUGGUGGAGCGGUGGAAUGCGCAGAUAUCAGGAGGAACACCAGUGGCGAAGGCGGUUCUCUGGGCCUUUCCUGACGCUGAGGAGCGAAAGCGUGGGGAGCGAACAGGCUUAGAUACCCUGGUAGUCCACGCUGUAAACGGUGGGUACUAGGUGUGGGGUCCAUUCCACGGGUUCCGUGCCGUAGCUAACGCUUUAAGUACCCCGCCUGGGGAGUACGGCCGCAAGGCUAAAACUCAAAGGAAUUGACGGGGCCCCGCACAAGCGGCGGAGCAUGCGGAUUAAUUCGAUGCAACGCGUAGAACCUUACCUGGGUUUGACAUGGAUCGGGAGUGCUCAGAGAUGGGUGUGCCUCUUUUGGGGUCGGUUCACAGGUGGUGCAUGGCUGUCGUCAGCUCGUGUCGUGAGAUGUUGGGUUAAGUCCCGCAACGAGCGCAACCCUUGUUCACUGUUGCCAGCACGUUAUGGUGGGGACUCAGUGGAGACCGCCGGGGUCAACUCGGAGGAAGGUGGGGAUGACGUCAAGUCAUCAUGCCCCUUAUGUCCAGGGCUUCACGCAUGCUACAAUGGCUGGUACAGAGAGUGGCGAGCCUGUGAGGGUGAGCGAAUCUCGGAAAGCCGGUCUCAGUUCGGAUUGGGGUCUGCAACUCGACCUCAUGAAGUCGGAGUCGCUAGUAAUCGCAGAUCAGCAACGCUGCGGUGAAUACGUUCCCGGGGCUUGUACACACCGCCCGUCAAGUCAUGAAAGUUGGUAACACCCGAAGCCGGUGGCCUAACCGUUGUGGGGGAGCCGUCGAAGGUGGGACUGGUGAUUAGGACUAAGUCAUA